UCUUUAUAGCAGUGUAAGAACAGACUAAUACACCGAUUAUUAAGAACUUGUAUUAGCAUAGUACAUUUGUCAUAACUAGUGAACCAAUAUUGAUGCAUUCUCAUUAACUGAAGUCUGUGCUUUAUGCACAUGUCCUCAGUUAUUUUCUAAUGCCCUUUUUCUGUUCCAGGAUCCCACACUGCAUUUAGUCAUCAUGUCUCCUUAGGCUUCUCGUGGCUGUGAGUUCCUUUGUUUUUGACAGCCUUGACAGUGCUGAGGAGUACAGCUAAGGUGUUUGGUAGAAUAGUCUUCAAUUGUGAAUCGUCCAAUCUUUUUCUCAUGAUGACACUGAGGUUAUGGAUUUUGGGGAAGGAGACCAUUGAAGUAAAGUGCCAUUUUUAUCACACCCUAUCAAAGAAAUUUAUUUCUCACCUUUCUGAAGGCUGGGAAGUCCAAGAUUGAGGGGCCGACAAGAACCUUCUUGCUGUGUCAUCCUGUGGCAGAAGGGCAAAGAGAAGAUGAGAGAAAGUGCAAGAAAAAUCAAACUCAUCCUUUUAUACGGUACGCAUUCCCUAGAUAAUAACACUAAUCCAUUCAUGAGGGCUCUGCCCUCAUAACUUCAACACUUCUUAAAGGUCCCACCUCCUAACACUGUUGCAUUGGGGAUCAAGUUUCUCACACAUGACCUUUGGGGGACACAUUCAAACCAUAGCAGGUAUAUACUGUCCCUGUGAUUUAUGACUUGGUGUUGAGCUUGAUCACCUGUCUUAGGUAGUGUUUGUCAGCUUUCCCCACUAUAAAGCUACUCUAUAUGUGCCUCUUUUUAUACUAUACUCUUUGCAAGGAAGUCACUAUGCCCACCCACACCUAAGGAGUGGGGAGCUAUGCUCCACCUCCUUGAGUGCACGGUAUCUGCAUAAAUUACUAGGAAUUCUUCUGCAUGUGAGAUUUAUCUCUUCUCCUCUGUUUACUUAUUAUGUAAUCUUUUGUUUAUAUUAAUAAAGACUCGUAGGUAUGUGUCUUAUGCUCUGGGUUAUAAUCUAAUACUACAUUACUUAUUUUUUUGCUCCGGCUAUUCUGGGUU
This 1063-nucleotide long non-coding RNA is filed under the name Callithrix jacchus (white-tufted-ear marmoset). Its description in RNAcentral is "lncRNA (ENSCJAG00000082397.1)". The record is from RNAcentral. Lineage: Eukaryota; Metazoa; Chordata; Mammalia; Primates; Cebidae.